RNAcentral lists this ribosomal RNA (403 nucleotides) under Fusobacteriota bacterium. Its description in RNAcentral is "Fusobacteria bacterium partial 16S ribosomal RNA". It matches the Rfam family "Bacterial small subunit ribosomal RNA", at positions 355 to 776 of the family's 1533-position model. The record is from RNAcentral. Lineage: Bacteria; Fusobacteriati; Fusobacteriota.
UGGGGAAUAUUGCACAAUGGAGGGAACUCUGAUGCAGCGACGCCGCGUGAACGAAGAAGGCUUUCGAUUCGUAAAGUUCUUUUAUAUGGGAAGAUAAUGACGGUACCAUAAGAAAAAGCCCCGGCUAACUACGUGCCAGCAGCCGCGGUAAUACGUAGGGGGCUAGCGUUGUCCGGAAUCACUGGGCGUAAAGGGUUCGCAGGCGGAAAUGCAAGUCAGGUGUAAAAGGCAGUAGCUUAACUACUGUAAGCAUUUGAAACUGCAUAUCUUGAGAAGAGUAGGGGUAAGUGGAAUUUUUAGUGUAGCGGUGAAAUGCGUAGAUAUUAAAAAGAAUACCGGUGGCGAAGGCGACUUACUGGGCUCAUUCUGACGCUGAGGAACGAAAGCGUGGGUAGCAAACAGG